RNAcentral lists this transfer RNA (68 nucleotides) under Leopoldamys edwardsi (Edwards's long-tailed giant rat). Its description in RNAcentral is "tRNA-Gly". The record is from RNAcentral. Lineage: Eukaryota; Metazoa; Chordata; Mammalia; Rodentia; Muridae.
ACUCUCUUAGUAUAACCAAUAUAACUGACUUCCAAUUAGUAGAUUCUGAUAACACCCAGAAGAGAGUA